GGCAUAGAGGAUGUUAAUUAGGCAUAGAGUAUGUUAAUUAGGCACAGGCAUAGAGUAUGUUAAUUAGGCAUAGGCAUAGAGUAUGUUAAUUAGGCAUCGAGUAUGUUAAUUAGGCAUAGAGUAUGUUAAUUAGGCACAGGCAUAGAGUAUGUUAAUUAGGCAUAGGCAUAGAGUAUGUUAAUUAGGCAUAGAGUAUGUUAAUUAGGCAUAGAGUAUGUUAAUUAGGUAUAGGCAUAGAGUAUGUUAAUUAGACAAGGCAUAGAGUAUGUUAAUUAGGCAUAGGCAUAGAGUAUGUUAAUUAGGCAUAGAGUAUGUUAAUUAGGUAUAGAGUAUGUUAAUUAGGCAUAGAGUAUGUUAAUUAGGCAUAGGCAUAGAGUAUGUUAAUUAGGCAUAGAGUAUGUUAAUUAGGUAUAGAGUAUGUUAAUUAGGCAUAGAGUAUGUUAAUUAGGCAUAGGCAUAGAGUAUGUUAAU
Molecule: long non-coding RNA, 471 nt
Organism: Oncorhynchus tshawytscha (Chinook salmon)
Lineage: Eukaryota; Metazoa; Chordata; Actinopteri; Salmoniformes; Salmonidae
Source: Ensembl